Gasterosteus aculeatus aculeatus (three-spined stickleback) is the source of this 3638-nucleotide long non-coding RNA. The record is from Ensembl. Lineage: Eukaryota; Metazoa; Chordata; Actinopteri; Perciformes; Gasterosteidae.
CUUUGCUGUGUGUAAUGUGGGGUAUCAGGGGAUAGAACGUGUUCCCAUGUGAGGGGUAUCGGAAUAGAACGUGUUCCUCCUCGCCGCCAAUGUGAUGCCUCCCUCAUCAUUCCUCCAUCGCUCUUCUUCAAAACAACCUGAGUCUCUCCACCAUGGACCUGCAGGUCUCUGCAGUCCUUGUGAAGUCUAAACAACUACACACAAACACGUCGUGAUUCAGAAUUCAUGUAACAGGAAAAUAUAGAAAGAAAGAAUGUUUGGCUUGAUGAUACAUCUGAUCCGUCAUCAUCGUAACCAUAUUUAAUAAAGGAAGGUCCAGAAAAACAUUUAGGAUAUUUUUGCUUUGAAAUGAGAAUUGAUAAUGAAUGUGUUGAAUAAUCUCUGCUGGUCUAAUAACAAUAGAAAUGUUGUAUAACAUCAGAGUAAAUAUGUGUAGCACACAGUAGCACACUACUACAUUGCCUACAGUUUCUUCCCUUUUUUCCCAAUGGAAGGGUUUUUCAUUUUUGGGGGAGUUUCUCCUGUGCCGAUGUGAGGGUUUUGGGACAGAGGAUGUCGCAUGUGUACAGACUGUAAAGCCCUCUGAGGCAAAUUGAAUUAAAUAUGUAGAUAAAGAAAUCUUCAAUAAACCAUAGACAUAAGAAAACAAGUAAAGGUUACAUUUAUUCCCAUAGUUAACGGUAAGGCCGUUUGCAUCGCCAGCUUGCGGGCAACCAGUAAAUAUCCAGGUUGAUUAUUUAUUUAUUUACUUUUGAUGUAAAAAACAAUAGCAAGCCUACACAGAACAAUGUGGUGCAGUUGAAAACAUUUACAAAGUUAGAAUAAUAUAGGGGAAAAAAAGAAUUGGACAGAUCCCCACUCUAUGAAGAGUGGAAAUGGGUUUCUAUAGUUGGGAAUGCAUCCCUCUCAACAGAGAUGACAUCCAGCCAAUCCAAAGACGACGUUUGUAACCAAUCAGAUGUAGAGGUUCCAUGUCCCCGAAAGGACCUUUUCUCGUGAAAGAGGGACUUUUGCUUGCAAAUGUUUGAUUUAGACCUGAUUUGCUCUCGGACUUUGACAUUGAGUUGCCUUCAUAGAGACAGUUAUAUGGCAACAACGGUUAUAUGAGAACAAAGCCACACACAUCAGCGGGAUCAAUCUGCCUGCGGCUGGUUAGCCAGCUACUGGGAGAUUAAUGUUACGCGUUUAUAAAACAGAAGGGAAAAGAAUAUCUCGUACUGUGCGUGUCAGCCAAAUGUUUUUCUCUGCAGUUUAUAAAGAUAGUUUCAACAACUCAGACAAAAGACAAUGCUUUAAUUCAACAUAAAUGAAUGAAAUCAAAUAAAACUGCUUUAAGUUUUUUGUAACAGCUUUACAAAACAUACUGAAACGACAUGCAUUCAUUUAGGUAAAAAGUACAUCAGCUACAGGCAAUAUUAAUGGUCAGUAAUGGUUAACACUGGUAGUAGAUAAUUAGUGUUUCAGAGUAAUUGUCCCAUUGUUUUGAUUGCAGUUGAGGGACAAGAGGAGUGAAGAGGAGGUUUCCUUCCUGAAAACUUAAACAUGUUUAAUAAGUGCAGCUCUGCAGUUUAAAUACUGCAGUGGAAAACAAAUACAAAAAGGCUCCUGUUUAAGUAAAAAUAAUGAAUUUUCUGCCAUCGAGGGGUGAAACCAUCAGCCGCGCUGAGCCCGGGGAGUGGAGAGGCCUCAUUUCAUUCCUCCAGAUGACGGUGCAGAGUCGGAAAACCAGCAGGACGCACGCCAACACCAGCAGUACCACUGAUUAGACACAAAAGAAGUCAAGACAAAGGAAUCACAACAGUGAGCAUUUAAAGUAUUAAAAUGAAUAUAAUUUCAGUGAGUACAGGAAGGCAGCAGGUAAAUAUGGUGAAAUUAUAUCUGUCAAGCUGACUGUGGUGUAAUAAUAAUCUGGAUUUCUGACAUUCUUAUUCAUGGAAGUGACAUUGAUACUGUUGUUUUUAUGGCAUUUCUGUGCUUAACUUUAGAUUGGGUGUUUUAUUUUCAUAAGAAAACGGUUUCUAUCACAUAGGUUGUUUUUCUGUGCACCAUGAAUCCUUUCUGAAGUAGCAUAUCCCGGUUAUGUUAUUACAUGCCGGACUGCUUUUUGAAGGCCAGAGAGGAGUACAUGUGCACGAGAGAGGUCUGCUUGCAUCCACUAAAAUGCAUCGUUGAGGCAAUGCUGGGUGUUUCUGCCCGUUAAAGAUGUGUCUUUGAUGUCCUGAUACGUGUUCCUGCUGCAGUCGAGUUUUGGUUGUAAUUGUGUGUGGGGCCUGAUAGUAGAACUUCUUUGGAUUAUACGUUUGCUUGUGUAAUCGGUUUGUUCACUCUGAACGUUUUGUGUCUUUACUUCCAGUUUUCACCAGCAUAGUAGUGAAAGAGUUCAAAUGAAAAGGUCAAAACUACGACUCUGUCUUCAUUUUCCGGGGUUAACUUAAUGUUUAAUCAGUCUUCCAAUAGCCGCGCAAGAAGAUUACGGAUUCAUUUUGUGUGGAUCGGUGUCAUCAUUUGUUCCUUCAGGGUUCAUCCACUGUGAGUCGGAUGAAAAGCAGCCGCCUGCUGGAAAGACGGGGUGGGGUUGGUGAAGUCACAGUUGCAGUGAUCCAGUGUCACACUCACCGACAAACACUGAAUUUGGGGUGGGAUCCGCAGGGUUAAAAUGUUUGAAGACGUUUCCAACCAGAGCCACGAUCACCACGGGGUACACGGUGAGGAUGUUACGCACCCAGCGGUCCAGCACCCAGUUCUCAAGCAGGAACCUGCACACAGGGACAAGCCUCAGCCAACUCGACCAUGUUCUCACGUGCACGGAUGGUGUUACAGCAAUCCCAUCCAACUGAAGUAUACGGAUACCAAACACUCAGACAGCUGCUGCAUUAACCAUCAUUGAAGCUCGUCCAAUCGAAGCUUACCAUCCCACCACCUCUGCAAACAAGAUGCACAGAGAAGCUGUUGCUGCUGUGCUCCUGGCCACACCCCACAGGUGAAGCACCAAUGAGAAGUUGAUCAGAGAAGCAAUGGAAAUCCAUGUGGUGUAGAGAGCCAAACCAUUCUGGACCUGAACAUAUGAACAUCGAUGAGCACAACAGUUACAUCAUUCACCUCGGACUUUCUUCCAAAUUGAGUCGUCAGCAAUACAGCGAAUGCAGAACAUGAAGCAUAUACACACACACACACACACACACACACACACACACACACUUACCAGUAUUCGUAGACAGUACAGGUCUUUCCUAUGGUAUGUCUGUAACCAGAGUCCAUAGUAAUCAGUGGCAAAGCAACAGAAGAACAAAGCAAUGUAGUUGGAAAUGGUCAUCAGGAUUAACACAACCAGAGCUGCUAGCAUCGACCUGGAGGACAGAGACACAGAGAGAGAGUCAGCAGAUGUUUCCUCUGCACAUCUCAGUAGUAUUGUUCAUUGUUUAUCUUAGGCCUUGCCAGUCAGAUCAACGUAUACCAUUGCCGGUAGAAUAUUGUGCACCAUUUCAAUAAAGUAAGUAGUUAUUAUCUCUGAGCUGGUUUAUGGUUUAUGAAUUUCUUUUAAUAUUUUCCCCUUUGUUUAUUUAAGAAAUGUGUUCAUUCAACAAAUGAUUUUCCUUUUUAUUAAUGAUUUCUCAUUAUUUAAUAUAUUUAUUAUUUUG